This 926-nucleotide ribosomal RNA is filed under the name Mermithidae sp. AS114NM01-2. RNAcentral's name for it is "SSU rRNA". It matches the Rfam family "Eukaryotic small subunit ribosomal RNA", at positions 72 to 993 of the family's 1831-position model. The record is from RNAcentral. Lineage: Eukaryota; Metazoa; Nematoda; Enoplea; Mermithida; Mermithidae.
UUUAAAAUGGUAAAGCCGCGAAUGGCUCGGUAUAACAGCUACGGUUUAUUAGAUUUUAGUUAUCUACUUGGAUAACUGUGGUAAUUCUAGAGCUAAUACAUGCACGCAAGCUCGGACCUUACGGAAAGAGCGCAUUUAUUAGAUCAAAACCAAUCGAAUACUUUUUAAGUGUUUGUUUAUUGGUGACUCUGAAUAACUAAGUUGAUCGCACAGUCAUAGAACUGGCGACGUAUCUUUCAAAUAUCUGCCUUAUCAACUUUCGAUGGUAGGUUAUACGCCUACCAUGGUUAUAACGGGUAACGGAGAAUAAGGGUUCGACUCCGGAGAGGGAGCCUGAGAAAUGGCUACCACAUCCAAGGAAGGCAGCAGGCGCGCAAAUUACCCAAUCCCAGUACGGGGAGGUAGUGACGAAAAAUAACGAGAUAGUCCACUAUGUGGCCUGUCAUCGGAAUGGGUACAAUUUAAAUCUUUUAACGAGGAUCUAUUAGAGGGCAAGUCUGGUGCCAGCAGCCGCGGUAAUUCCAGCUCUAAUAGCGUAUAUUAAAGUUGUUGUGGUUAAAACGCCCGUAGUUGAUUUUUCGACUUUGGAGCAUGGUAUCUCGAAAGAGUUUUCACUGUGUUUUCCAAGUCUCAUCUUCUUGUUUUCUAUGGAUGCUCUUUAUUGAGUGUCUUUAGUGACUUGAACGUUUACUUUGAAAAAAUUAGAGUGCUUAAAGCAAGCUUUCAGCUUGAAUAAAGUGCAUGGGAUAAUGGAAUAGGACUUUAGUCUUAUUUUGUUGGUUUUCGAGAUUAAAGUAAUGAUUAAGAGGAAUAGACGGGGGCAUUCGUAUUGUUGCGUUAGAGGUGAAAUUCUUGGAUCGCAGCAAGACGAACAACUGCGAAAGCAUUUGCCAAGAAUGUUUUCAUUAAUCAAGGACGAAAGUUAG